Long non-coding RNA from Paramisgurnus dabryanus, 852 nucleotides. RefSeq lists it as uncharacterized. The record is from RefSeq and is a predicted model, not a curated record. Lineage: Eukaryota; Metazoa; Chordata; Actinopteri; Cypriniformes; Cobitidae.
GUUCCUGGCACAGUUGGCACUAUAUAAGCUUUGUUUAUUCUUUAUUAUUAUCAUCAGAAAAGAAACGGUUGUACAUCAGCUUUCAACAUUUCAGCAUCUUUAUAAUUCAUGCCACAAUGAUUCUUACUGUGGUAAAGAAGAGCCUCGUCUGGAUCUUUCUCUUUUUUACUCUAAGUGCACAGGAUCACAAUUUGGACCCACAAACCCUUGCACGUAUCGUGAAAACCUUUGAGAGCAAGUUGGGUAAAUUAGGCCAAUAUGCCAUAGCCUUCAGAGUUGAGAAGGAGAACUGUCUUGCACACUCCAAAUAUUCGGGCAACGACUUGAUAACGGAUGAAGUGAAAAACAGAAUUCAGAACAACGAGGUCUAUGUGAGCAAUAACCUCAUAGCUGCGAAAGCUCUGAAAGGUAAAAAAACAGAGCAUUCAGAGUUUCGCCUGAAAAAUCAUCUGAAAGAUAUCUUAAAUGUGAAAGACAAAUGUGUGAUUUUUUUCACUGUAAAUUCACCCUGUUUGACAACAUGUUUAGCAGACAAUGGAAAAUAUACCAUUAAAGGUAGCCUUACAAUGUUACAAACGUAUCAUGGAAUUAAAGCCCUUGCUUUUAAAAAGGUCUGGAAACAGGAUACAAUAGAAGCACUGAAAGCAAAACUGAAGGCAAUAGCACAUAAUUUGCCAUCUUAUCAGUGUGAAAGCAACGCUGGAUGUAAACGCCUCUUUGCCCGAAAGUCACAGACACAUGAAAAUGACAUGACUAUUUUAAACCUUUAAUUUCUAUUAUUGUUUAAUGUGUAUUGUGUAAUAUUCAUACACUGUAACACUGCUUAUGUUCUGCUGACAACCUUGUUAUAGU